AUAACUGGCUUGUGGCAGCCAAGCGUUCAUAGCGACGUUGCUUUUUGAUCCUUCGAUGUCGGCUCUUCCUAUCAUUGCGAAGCAGAAUUCGCCAAGCGUCGGAUUGUUCACCCGCCAAUAGGGAACGUGAGCUGGGUUUAGACCGUCGUGAGACAGGUU
This is a non-coding RNA of Paramuricea clavata, 159 nucleotides long. The record is from the annotation of a GenBank genome assembly. NCBI's taxonomy places the organism in Eukaryota, Metazoa, Cnidaria, Anthozoa, Malacalcyonacea, Plexauridae.